AGCAGCCGCGGUAAUUCCAGCUCCAAUAGCGUAUAUUAAAGUUGUUGCAGUUAAAAAGCUCGUAGUUGAAUUUCGGAAUCUGUCCGUCGGUCGGGCUUCACUGUCCGUACUGGUGUGAUGGGUUUCUACCUUCUGAAUAACCGGCAUGUCAUUAAUUUGGUGCGCCGGGGAAGCAGAACUAUUACCUUGAAAAAAUUAGAGUGCUUAAAGACGCUAUCGCCUGAAUAGAUUAGCAUGGAAUAAUAAAAUAGGACGGCAUGGUUCUAUUUUGUUGGUUUCUAGGAUCACCGUAAUGAUUAAUAGGGAUAGUUGGGGGCAUUAGUAUUCAAUUGUCAGAGGUGAAAUUCUUGGAUUUAUUGAAGACUAACUUCUGCGAAAGCAUUUGCCAAGGAUGUUUUCAUUAAUCAAGAACGAAAGUUAGGGGAUCGAAGACGAUCAGAUACCGUCGUAGUCUUAACCAUAAACUAUGCCGACUAGGGAUCGGAUGAUGUUAAUUUUUUAAUGACUCA
RNAcentral lists this ribosomal RNA (509 nucleotides) under Acaulospora sp. PSAM-Aca-1. RNAcentral's name for it is "SSU rRNA". It matches the Rfam family "Eukaryotic small subunit ribosomal RNA", at positions 569 to 1078 of the family's 1831-position model. Lineage: Eukaryota; Fungi; Glomeromycota; Glomeromycetes; Diversisporales; Acaulosporaceae. The record is from RNAcentral.